CCUACGGGAGGCAGCAGUGAGGAAUAUUGGUCAAUGGACGAGAGUCUGAACCAGCCAAGUAGCGUGAAGGAUGACUGCCCUAUGGGUUGUAAACUUCUUUUAUAUGGGAAUAAAAUGUUCCACGUGUGGGAUUUUGUAUGUACCAUAUGAAUAAGGAUCGGCUAACUCCGUGCCAGCAGCCGCGGUAAUACGGAGGAUCCGAGCGUUAUCCGGAUUUAUUGGGUUUAAAGGGAGCAUAGGUGGAUUGUUAAGUCAGUUGUGAAAGUUUGCGGCUCAACCGUAAAAUUGCAGUUGAAACUGGCAGUCUUGAGUACAGUAGAGGUGGGCGGAAGUCGUGGUGUAGCGGUGAAAUGCUUAGAUAUCACGAAGAACUCCGAUUGCGAAGGCAGUUCACUGGACUGCAACUGACACUGAGGCUCGAAAGUGUGGGUAUCAAACAGGAUUAGAUACCCUAGUAGUC
This 460-nucleotide ribosomal RNA is filed under the name uncultured bacterium. Its description in RNAcentral is "partial 16S ribosomal RNA". It matches the Rfam family "Bacterial small subunit ribosomal RNA", at positions 338 to 795 of the family's 1533-position model. The record is from RNAcentral.